GAGCUCUCACUUUGGCAGCACGUGUACUAAAAUUGGAACAAUACAGAGAAGGUUAGCAUGGCCCCUGCGCAAGGAUGACCUGCAAAUUCAUGAAGUGCUAACAUAUUUU
Trichechus manatus latirostris (Florida manatee) is the source of this 109-nucleotide small nuclear RNA. Lineage: Eukaryota; Metazoa; Chordata; Mammalia; Sirenia; Trichechidae. The record is from RefSeq and is a predicted model, not a curated record.